Molecule: non-coding RNA, 113 nt
Organism: Acanthosepion pharaonis
Lineage: Eukaryota; Metazoa; Mollusca; Cephalopoda; Sepiida; Sepiidae
Source: the annotation of a GenBank genome assembly
UAUGUCCAUAUCAUGUCAAAAUACCUGUUUCCAUACAAUCACCAAAGUUAAGCAACAUCAAGACUGGUUAGUACCUAGAUUGGUGAACACUUGGGAAAACCAUGUGCUGUAAG